RNAcentral lists this ribosomal RNA (393 nucleotides) under uncultured bacterium. Its description in RNAcentral is "partial 16S ribosomal RNA". It matches the Rfam family "Bacterial small subunit ribosomal RNA", at positions 523 to 918 of the family's 1533-position model. The record is from RNAcentral.
AUACGGAGGAUCCGAGCGUUAUCCGGAUUUAUUGGGUUUAAAGGGUGCGUAGGUGGAUUAAUAAGUCAGCGGUGAAAUCCCGGAGCUCAACUCCGGAACUGCCGUUGAAACUGUUAGUCUUGAGUGUGAACGAGGUAGGCGGAAUUCGUAGUGUAGCGGUGAAAUGCAUAGAUAUUACGAAGAACACCGAUAGCGCAGGCAGCUUACCAGGCCACAACUGACACUGAUGCACGAAAGUGUGGGUAUCAAACAGGAUUAGAUACCCUGGUAGUCCACACAGUAAACGAUGAAUACUAACUGUUUGCGAUAUACAGUAAGCGGUACAGCGAAAGCGUUAAGUAUUCCACCUGGGGAGUACGCCGGCAACGGUGAAACUCAAAGGAAUUGACGGGG